Molecule: ribosomal RNA, 506 nt
Filed under: uncultured bacterium
Lineage: Bacteria
Description: partial 16S ribosomal RNA
Rfam family: Bacterial small subunit ribosomal RNA
Source: RNAcentral
AUUGAACGCUGGCGGCAGGCCUAACACAUGCAAGUCGAACGGUAACAGGAAACAGCUUGCUGUUUCGCUGACGAGUGGCGGACGGGUGAGUAAUGUCUGGGAAACUGCCUGAUGGAGGGAGAUAACUACUGGAAACGGUAGCUAAUACCGCAUAACGUCGCAAGACCAAAGAGGGGGACCUUCGGGCCUCUUGCCAUCGGAUGUGCCCAGAUGGGAUUAGCUAGUAGGUGGGGUAACGGCUCACCUAGGCGACGAUCCCUAGCUGGUCUGAGAGGAUGACCAGCCACACUGGAACUGAGACACGGUCCAGACUCCUACGGGAGGCAGCAGUGGGGAAUAUUGCACAAUGGGCGCAAGCCUGAUGCAGCCAUGUCGCGUGUAUGAAGAAGGCCUUCGGGUUGUAAAGUACUUUCAGCGGGGAGGAAGGGAGUAAAGUUAAUAACCUCAUCGAUUGACGUUACCCGCAGAAGAAGCACCGGCUAACUCCGUGCCAGCCGCCGCAGUAA